AUUUGAUAUUGUUUGGUGACUGGAAACGGAUACAUAUGCCGGCGAGCUCUGUUUCUUUUGUCUUGAUUCUACUGGUUCUUUCGAAGCAAAUUUCAGCGCCGGCUUUCGAUCUCAGAAACUAGUAGAAUCCAUGGCCUCCAAGUUACUCGUGCAUGAACAAUUGAGGAAGAAGAUGUUGGGGUCAAUUGAAGUUCGAUCUCCUCUCGGAAACCCUACAAAUUCUUCCUCCUCCGAUUCUCCUCUUUCUCUGCUUCACAACUACUCCAAUUUCAAGAGAAGUGGGUUACCUUCACGUUUUAUGUUCUAUUUCCAUAGUUCUUGGGUUGAUUUCCCUACCCAAGUGCUUGAAAUCUUGCGAACGGCUUUCUCUGACCGGAAUCCAGCGGUGGAGUUGCAAAUUGAUGGAUCGAAGUACUUAUUUGAUUUGUACAGGAUGUUGCAGAUUGAUUUAGACACUGGUAGACAGAGAUCGGUUGCUUGGAUCGAUGAUAAGGGCGAGUGUUUCUUCCCUAAAGUUUUUAUUGGGGAAGAGACGACGAAUAGCUCCCCGAUUUCUUGUAGUCCGAAAAUUGAAAUUUCGAUUACGAUUGAUGGGAAAUCCGGGAAGAGAAAGAGGGAAACUAUGGAAGAAAAUGAAGUCAGUUCUAGUAAUGAACAUAUGAAAGUGAAGGCAUCGAAAAUUCCUCGUGUCGUUAUGAAUGAUUCAGAAACUUCUGUAUGGCCGAAGACGAAGGUGCUGAAUGAAGGGGAUAGUGGGUAUUCGUUAGUAAGCAAUUCCCUUCUCCCUUCAAUGAAAAAAGUUGAUUCUACCUUUUCAAUCUCCGCAAUUCAUCGGUGUACCAGAACGGGGCCACUGGAGAAAGCUCGUCUCGAUGUGUUUCUGAAGCAAAAUGAGAUUACAACGGCUGCUCGUGGUGUAUCUAAUAUGGUUUAUGCAUGGUAUGGAGCUUCUGCAAAAACUUUAGCCGGAAUUUUGGCUCAUGGGUUCGGAGAGCCAGUUCAGAUUCCUGCUUCUGAUACCACCCAUGGCAUUGGAGUUUAUUUAUCUCCAUUGGGUUUGCCCCAUUUAAGUUCUAAGCUAUCGGAGGCCGAUGGCAAUGGAGUUAAACAUAUGAUUUUAUGUCGAGUUAUAUUGGGGAACAUGGAAAAAGUUGGAGCAGGAUCUCGACAAUCCCAUCCUUCGAGUACAGAGUUCGACACUGGUGUGGAUGAUCCAACAUGUCCAAAACGUUAUAUUGUAUGGUGUAGCAAUAUGAACAGACACAUUUUACCAGAAUAUAUAGUGAGCUUCAAAUCAACAUCUCAUCUGCCGGGUAACUUGAGAGAAUCGACUGAGACAAAGUAUCCCCUUGUGAAAUUACUUUCGAAGAUGAGGAAUUCCCUGCCUCCCUCUAAAGUUCAAGAAGUUGCGACGUUGUUUCAGAAAUUUAAGGUUGGACAAUUGGCAAAAGAUGUUCUUGUUAAAAGGUUACGAUCAAUUGCUGGAGAUCAGAUGCUUCUAUCCAUAUUUCGUGAAAGUCGUGGAUGACAAUGAGUGAAAUGCAGAAAAACAUGGAACUGAUAUGCCUUCCGGUAUCUGAGCUUAAAUAUAGAUACUGAUAUCAGAAAGAACUGAUGGUUCGAAAUUUCUCUGGAAAUUAUUGGCGAGGAUGAUUUUCCCUCAAGUACAGCUAGGCGCAAGGGAUAAUAGAUGUUUCCUUCUAGUUCUAUCAUUUGUUUCCAUCUUCUAGGGGUAUGAAAAUCACUUGGUAUGGAAUCCCACGGGUAUGAAAAUCACUUUAUUAUCUUCUUGCUUUUCUGUUUUUCAAUUUUCACACAUGCAUUUGUUUAAAUAUCUAGUUUCUCCCUUGUUGUAGGGUCUUACUUUUUGUAAAUCUCUUAACUAUUAAUAUCACGUUUCAAAUAGUUUUACUUUCAAUACUAUUACAGUAUUAGAACUCAGAUCUCCUUUUUCUCACUGUUUUGAGUUUUGGGGUUUUCUAAGUUAAGUGGCUUGACAUUUAUAGUUCCAUACAGAGGAAGAUAGUUGGGAUGGCUACAGUUCAAGGAUUCUUCAUGAAACUCCUUCCCUCGAUAUGUUCGUGGCCACAUUUUUGUUAGGGCCAAGGAGGAACUCUUUGUAAUUUCUUUUCCAUCUUACUUCGUUUUAUGACUAUCUUUCAUUCGAACAGCUCAUCUCUAAUGAUAGCUUAUUGUAGCUUGCCUUUUUUAUUCUUUUUAUAAUAUAGACAUCUGACAUGCAGACACAUGGGAUUUGGAUUGUAUGCUAACAAAAAAUGUAUGCAUUUGGACUUGAGAUUGAAAUAAGGGUUUGAUUCUGCUUAGUCCUUCAGGCAUUGAUUUUCUUCAUCUUCCUUUUGAAAAUUUGAUUAAUACUGGAUUUAUGGAUUGGACAAGCAGAAUAACUGGUACCAGGAACAAAUUGAUCAGCACUCGCUAUUUUGUUUAUUAAUUCUAAUGUUGGGGCUUAUAAUUACUUGUAAGUUACUACUCAGUUUUUCGCAGGCUGCAAAGAUGGGGACAGCCUACAGGACGGAUUGUUGAGACUGGUUGGGGGCCCAUGCCAACUAUCUGGAUAAGUUAGAUGUUAGCUGAACAAUUGGUAACGAAGGGUGGUUUUAUAUUUCAUUUCUAUAGAAUAUUGGCGUAAUUAUCAUUAGCUCUUUGCUAUUGCUGACCCUGUAUAGUUGUAAUUGUUUAUUGUUAGACUUUCCUUUUUUAUUUUUAAACUAGCUCGUUUUAUGUAGUUCAAACUUCUUGAUGUCAGUCUCCUAGUGGUGAGGAAGAAUUCAUGUGCACUAUUCUGUUUGGAAACAUUGGAAUUUCUUAUUACAUGAAGAUGCUUGUUCUUUCGUUAGUCAAUGAUAUUUGGUGGAUAAUUUUUCGUGUAAAGUGAUUUUUCCCUCAACUUUCAUGUAUUGAUACAACAUUGUAUAUGACACCCAUUUCUUCAACUCAUGCAGUCUGUCUCGAGCUGAUGCUCUUUGGAGAGGAGUGUCCGAGUUGCCAAGGUGCUGACCGAAACAAAUGCCUUUCAUCUUUCAUUGUAGAAUGGAUUUGGAGCUUAGUCACUACUUGAACACCAUGGAUACAUAUUCAACACGUUGUCGGAUGCUGUCAACUCACUGUGUCUAAUAGCGAAAAGGUAGAAGGUUGGUGCAAAUCCAAAUCCAAAUCCACCAUCUUUUUAAUAUUGAAAAUGUAAAUUCUUAAUAGACCAUGAUCUUCAACACUUAUCCAUAUUUAGCUUCCUUGACCUUCGGGUAUACCGAAAAACAUCUACAGUUUAUUGAAUAUUAGCAUCGUUUAUAUGUAUUUAUAUGCAUCUUGAUAUUGAUGAUGUGUGAAAAAAGGGGGAAUUCUAUAGUAUGUGCUCGUUUUUUCUUUUUGUUUUA
This is an RNA transcript of Cucumis sativus (cucumber), 3395 nucleotides long. It is a transcript of the gene named probable inactive poly [ADP-ribose] polymerase SRO3, with no coding region annotated. NCBI's taxonomy places the organism in Eukaryota, Viridiplantae, Streptophyta, Magnoliopsida, Cucurbitales, Cucurbitaceae. The record is from RefSeq and is a predicted model, not a curated record. The transcript is spliced from 7 exons.